AGCUGCCUGCCACCGGGUAUGCAGCGCUUAUGUGCCUGAACACAUUCCGUUAGGUCAAAGAAGGAAUGUGUCCGGGCUUUUUUUCGGG
RNAcentral lists this non-coding RNA (88 nucleotides) under unclassified sequences. The record is from RNAcentral.